CGGGGCGUGGCUCAGUUGGCUAGAGCGCUCGGUUCGGGACCGUGAGAUCGCUGGUUCAAAUCCAGUCGCCCCGA
This 74-nucleotide transfer RNA is filed under the name Bacteroidales bacterium. RNAcentral describes it as "tRNA-Pro". It matches the Rfam family "tRNA". From Rfam's summary of the family: Transfer RNA (tRNA) molecules are approximately 80 nucleotides in length. Their secondary structure includes four short double-helical elements and three loops (D, anti-codon, and T loops). Lineage: Bacteria; Pseudomonadati; Bacteroidota; Bacteroidia; Bacteroidales. RNAcentral also lists the same sequence under 1 other name. The record is from RNAcentral.